GGACUCGUGGCGUAGUGGUUAUCGCGUUUGUCUUACAAAAGAGUCGUCUUGCGUGCACAAAAGGUCCCCAGUUCGAUCCUGGGUGAGUUCA
Non-coding RNA from Mycena vulgaris, 91 nucleotides. NCBI's taxonomy places the organism in Eukaryota, Fungi, Basidiomycota, Agaricomycetes, Agaricales, Mycenaceae. The record is from the annotation of a GenBank genome assembly.